AUGAACGCUGGCGGCGUGCCUAAUACAUGCAAGUCGAGCGAACGGACGAGAAGCUUGCUUCUCUGAUGUUAGCGGCGGACGGGUGAGUAACACGUGGAUAACCUACCUAUAAGACUGGGAUAACUUCGGGAAACCGGAGCUAAUACCGGAUAAUAUUUUGAACCGCAUGGUUCAAAAGUGAAAGACGGUCUUGCUGUCACUUAUAGAUGGAUCCGCGCUGCAUUAGCUAGUUGGUAAGGUAACGGCUUACCAAGGCAACGAUGCAUAGCCGACCUGAGAGGGUGAUCGGCCACACUGGAACUGAGAAACGGUCCAGACUCCUAAGGGAGGCAGCAGUAGGGAAUCUUCCGCAAUGGGCGAAAGCCUGACGGAGCAACGACGCGUGAGUGAUGAAGGUCUUCGGAUCGUAAAACUCUGUUAUUAGGGAAGAACAUAUGUGUAAGUAACUGUGCACAUCUUGACGGUACCUAAUCAGAAAGCCACGGCUAACUACGUG
RNAcentral lists this ribosomal RNA (496 nucleotides) under uncultured bacterium. RNAcentral's name for it is "partial 16S ribosomal RNA". It matches the Rfam family "Bacterial small subunit ribosomal RNA", at positions 29 to 507 of the family's 1533-position model. The record is from RNAcentral.